RNAcentral lists this long non-coding RNA (1104 nucleotides) under Mytilus galloprovincialis (Mediterranean mussel). Lineage: Eukaryota; Metazoa; Mollusca; Bivalvia; Mytilida; Mytilidae. The record is from RNAcentral.
UUUAUAUACAAAAGUCACGUUUUAUGUUAAAAUAAUAUUCUAAGGAAUUCACAAAAAAUAUGCCUUUUACAGAAAUAAGCACAAUAUAUAUGUAUUUAGAAUGUAGUUUGAUUCACCUCAAAAUUCUUUUAGCUUUUUAAAUUUCUAGUCUAUGUUUUUUUUUAGAUAGAAUAUAAUGUUUUAACACUUAAGCAAUAGUGUAGAAAGUAGAAAGAAACUAGUUAUAGGUUUAUAAUUAGGUAAAAAAUAGGAAUGUUAAGAUUACCUAUUAUAACAAAAAAUUGAUAUACUGUUGAAUAUUUAUUCCAUUUAUUAGUUCAUAAUAGAGAAAUGAAAUCACACCCUCUACUUGAUGCGUAAGAGACAGUCGAAUUUUGCACACAACUUCUAGCUUAAAACAAGGUAGUUGAGAUAUAUAUUCAUGACUUAUUUUUAACAGCACAUGAUUUGCUUUGCUUUGCUCAAUUAUUGUUAAGAGCCAUAUUUUUAUUAUUCUUUAUUUUCAUCUAUAUGUAAUAGAUAGCUUAUUAUUUUUAUUCUAUAUAUAAAUUAAUCUGAACUUUUUUUCCAUUUGUUGCUUUUUUGAAUGUGUACAGAUGGGUUAUUUCACUAGGUGUUAUAACAAACAACUAUUUAACUUGUCUUUCUGUAUUAUUUAGCCAAAUACAAACUGUGAUAUAUAUUUAAUGUGAUUGUAGAUUAUUACUUUGUUUGAUGUCUGUCAUAUUGACUGUAGCAUUAUGGGAUAUAUUAUAAGGUGUCUGCCAUAUUGGCUGUGGACACCUGGGAUAUAUUGUUAGGUGUCUGCCAUACUGAAUCGCGACACCUGAUAUAUAUUAUUAGGUGUCUUCUAUAUUGGCUGUGGACACCUGGGAUAUAUUAUUAGGUGUCCUCUAUAUUGGCUGUGGACAUCUGUGAUAUAUUAUUAGGUGUCAGCCAUAUUGGCGGUGGACACCUGGGAUAUAUUAUUAGGUGUCUGCCAAUUUGACUGUGGACACCUGGGAUAUUCUGACUAUAAUAUAUAAUGUGUGGCUGUAGAAGAUACUUGUUUGUAAAUGUUGUUUACUGUAUAAUUUGUUUUUCAGUACAAUAAAUUGUUAAAAC